GAUGCAGCGACGCCGCGUGGGGGAUGACGGCCUUCGGGUUGUAAACCCCUUUCAGUAGGGAAGAAGCGAGAGUGACGGUACCUGCAGAAGAAGCGCCGGCUAACUACGUGCCAGCAGCCGCGGUAAUACGUAGGGCGCAAGCGUUGUCCGGAAUUAUUGGGCGUAAAGAGCUUGUAGGUGGCUUGUCGCGUCUGCCGUGAAAACCCGAGGCUCAACCUCGGGCGUGCGGUGGGUACGGGCAGGCUAGAGUGUGGUAGGGGAGACUGGAACUCCUGGUGUAGCGGUGAAAUGCGCAGAUAUCAGGAAGAACACCGAUGGCGAAGGCAGGUCUCUGGGCCAUUACUGACACUGAGAAGCGAAAGCAUGGGUAGCGAACAGGAUUAGAUACCCUGGUAGUCCAUGCCGUAAACGUUGGGCACUAGGUGUGGGGGACAUUCCACGUUUUCCGCGCCGUAGCUAACGCAUUAAGUGCCCCGCCUGGGGAGUACGGCCGCAAGGCUAAAACUCAAAGGAAUUGACGGGGGCCCGCACAAGCGGCGGAGCAUGCUGAUUAAUUCGAUGCAAC
This 565-nucleotide ribosomal RNA is filed under the name Brachybacterium sp. QJHH4. Its description in RNAcentral is "bacterial SSU rRNA". It matches the Rfam family "Bacterial small subunit ribosomal RNA", at positions 385 to 960 of the family's 1533-position model. The record is from RNAcentral. Lineage: Bacteria; Bacillati; Actinomycetota; Actinomycetes; Micrococcales; Dermabacteraceae.